GGGGUUGACUGGAUUCGACGGGAUGAUUGGUUGCAGUGUAAGCAUGUGGUGCGUGGGAGGUUUGCACCAAAAUCUCAGCCUUCAAACUUUUAAGAGGCGAAUCUAACUACGCCAUGGCUGCCUAAUCGGAAUGAUUAAGUAAUUGCCAUCUACCCCGAAUGUCUCUAUCUGAGCCGAUGUUCUUCAGGGGUAGUCGACCCGCUCAGGUAUGACCCUCACCCAUCAACGCAGGGGAUCAUUACAAAGUUGGUUAAGGAAUCACGUUGGCUAGGGUAGAGCCGGCCGAUUCUCGAAAAUCAAUCUAACCCUAAACAUGUAGAAAGCGCUAGUAAUCGCAUAGCCGGACGGGGGUUCGAUUCCCCCCAAUUCCACUU
RNAcentral lists this transfer-messenger RNA (374 nucleotides) under Bacteroidia. RNAcentral's name for it is "UBA955 sp002347985 Standard tmRNA". It matches the Rfam family "transfer-messenger RNA". From Rfam's summary of the family: Bacterial tmRNA, also known as 10Sa RNA or SsrA, is named for its dual tRNA and mRNA-like properties. Its role is to liberate the mRNA from a stalled ribosome. RNAcentral also lists the same sequence under 1 other name. The record is from RNAcentral. Lineage: Bacteria; Pseudomonadati; Bacteroidota.